UACGUAGGGUGCAAGCGUUAAUCGGAAUUACUGGGCGUAAAGCGUGCGCAGGCGGUCGUGCAAGACAGAUGUGAAAUCCUCGGGCUCAACCUGGGAACUGCAUUUGUGACUGCGCGGCUGGAGUGCGGCAGAGGGGGAUGGAAUUCCGCGUGUAGCAGUGAAAUGCGUAGAUAUGCGGAGGAACACCGAUGGCGAAGGCAAUCCCCUGGGCCUGUACUGACGCUCAUGCACGAAAGCGUGGGGAG
Molecule: ribosomal RNA, 245 nt
Filed under: uncultured prokaryote
Description: partial 16S ribosomal RNA
Rfam family: Bacterial small subunit ribosomal RNA
Source: RNAcentral